GUAGACAUAGUUAAAUAAGAAUAUUAGAUUGUGAUUCUGAAGAUAAAGGAUAGAACCCUUUUGUCUACC
This 69-nucleotide transfer RNA is filed under the name Muraenesox cinereus (daggertooth pike conger). Its description in RNAcentral is "tRNA-His". It matches the Rfam family "tRNA". From Rfam's summary of the family: Transfer RNA (tRNA) molecules are approximately 80 nucleotides in length. Their secondary structure includes four short double-helical elements and three loops (D, anti-codon, and T loops). Further hydrogen bonds mediate the characteristic L-shaped molecular structure. tRNAs have two regions of fundamental functional importance: the anti-codon, which is responsible for specific mRNA codon recognition, and the 3' end, to which the tRNAs corresponding amino acid is attached (by aminoacyl-tRNA synthetases). tRNAs cope with the degeneracy of the genetic code in two manners: having more than one tRNA (with a specific anti-codon) for a particular amino acid; and 'wobble' base-pairing, i.e. permitting non-standard base-pairing at the 3rd anti-codon position. The record is from RNAcentral. Lineage: Eukaryota; Metazoa; Chordata; Actinopteri; Anguilliformes; Muraenesocidae.